This 146-nucleotide ribosomal RNA is filed under the name Mycosphaerellaceae sp. Its description in RNAcentral is "partial large subunit ribosomal RNA". It matches the Rfam family "Eukaryotic large subunit ribosomal RNA", at positions 99 to 247 of the family's 3401-position model. Lineage: Eukaryota; Fungi; Ascomycota; Dothideomycetes; Mycosphaerellales; Mycosphaerellaceae. The record is from RNAcentral.
CGGCAACAGCUCAAAUUUGAAAUCUGGCCUCGGCCCGAGUUGUAAUUUGAAGAGGAUGCUUUGGGGUCGUCUCCGGUCUAAGUUCCUUGGAACAGGACGUCGCAGAGGGUGAGAGUCCCGUACGCGGCUGGACGCCUUCCCUGUGU